This is a long non-coding RNA of Harpia harpyja (harpy eagle), 2231 nucleotides long. RefSeq lists it as uncharacterized. The record is from RefSeq and is a predicted model, not a curated record. Lineage: Eukaryota; Metazoa; Chordata; Aves; Accipitriformes; Accipitridae. The transcript is spliced from 4 exons.
CGCUAGGCGGCGGCCCCGGGCUGGGCGGGCCGCUCUCCUGCCUCGGGGAGGGCGCCGCGCCGCGCCGCGGCCGCUGGCCGGACGGGACGAGACGAAGCAAGAUGGCGGCGGGCCCGGUGGGGAGCUUGAGGAGCAGGAGAAGAGGCAGCGUGUGCCCUGUUUGCAGUGCUGAAGUAACACCGAGACGCCUCACGGGAAACGGAUGAGAGCGGAUGGUGCCCUGCUACAGUGUAGGGCUGUACCAAUAUCAAUGCUACCUAGGCCACAGAAACUGGCACGCAGGUAUGUUCAUCAACAGAGAGGUAUUGCCGGGUCGAAAUAAGAGACAGACGAAAAACAUUUGUAAGGCAGCAACUGGAUGAGAAAAAAAAUCCCACAUUCAGUGGUCACAGAGAUAUGCAGCACUUACAAAAAGUCCAGAGAGAACAAAAUCUGUUGGUAUGCACAUUUAAAUACAUCUUGUUCAUAACAGGAUGCUAUGUUUGACGUCUCUUCCUGCAGCUAUGGAUUUGUUAUCAACUGGGUGAAAGCUCCUGUCAGAUACGCUUCAUACAACCAGUUGCAGCAGCAAAGGCUCUAUUUUUUCUAGAACAGAAACUCCACUUUAAUCUAUGAUAUCAUCAAGAGACAAUGGGAUUUGUCAUGCCAAUGCUAAACCGAGACUAAGCUUCAACCCUUUAUAUGGAUGGAACUGUUUGUUGAAAAAGGAAGCUGCAAUACUGAAAGCAGUCAGUGCUUGACUGCAUGAGACCAUGCCUCUCACAGAAGGCAAAUGAUGUCUUACUUCAAAAACUUUAUGAAAUGCAAACUUAGUUAAACCCUUUCACUCAGUUAAAUCCUUUCAAGUGUCUUCUCCAAGGCAACAAUAAACCAGUGAUUGACUUUUCUUAGAGCUGUUACUUGAAUAAUUGAGGAGGGAAAGCUAAGGUUCCUACUAAGGUAUGUACAAGAUGUCUUGCUCUCCCUUCAGAUUAAGAUUUUUAGUUUGAUUUACUAUGAAGACCACAGGGGUCAACUUAAGAAAAAAAAAAAAGGGCAAAAACCUUCUUUUAGCAUAGUGGAUUUUUUUUCCUCGUAGUAGCCGAAGUGCCUUUUUAGAUACCUGGUGAACUAAAACUUGAUAUGUAGCUGUUUCAUAGAGAACAAUUUUUUUAUUCACAGCUAGAAAUAGGUAGCCUCUGAAAACGUGAAGUUGUCAAUAUAAAAGAAUGCAACAGCAAAGUAAGCCAAUAAUUCAUAACUAUCACUAAAACAGUAGAAAAAUUGCUUACAAAGGCAAACAGUGAACUGAUUUUAAUUAAAUUAAGCAAUACUGCUGCAGGCAUUCAGAGUGCUCACAACUGUAUCUUCAACUCUAUAUUGCUGUAGUAAGGUGUGCUUCAGGUUGUUAAACUUGUGUGCUUUAAUAAUUUAAAUAACAUAGAUUGAAUAUUUUGCUUUAUAUUGUAUGCAUCUGUAUUGGGUUUGCAUGGCAAGGUUUUGGUAGCAGGGAGGCUACACGGGUGGCUUCUGUGAGAAGCUGCUAGAAGCUUCCCCCAUGUCCGACAGAGCCAAUGCCAGCUGGCUCCAAGACAGACCCGCCGCUGGCCAAGGCCAAGCCCAUCAGCGACGGUGGUAGGGCCUCUGGGAUAACGUAUUUUAAGGGGAAGAAAACCUGCAUGACUGCAGCUGAAGAGAGGAGUGAGAAUAUGUGAGAGAAACAACCCUGCAGACACCCAGCCCAUGGAGGUCCACGGUGGAGCAGAUAUCCACCUGCAGCCUGUGGAGGACCCCACGCUGGAGCAGGUUGAUGCCCAAAGGAGGCUGUGACCCCACGGGAAGCCCGUGCUGGAGCAGGCUCCUGGCAGGACCUGUGGACCCGUGGAGAGAGGAGUCCACAUUGGAGCAGGUUUGCUGGCAGGACUUGUGACCUGUGAGGGACCCACACUGGAGCAAUCUGUGCCUGAAGGACUGCAGGCCACGGAAGGGACCCAUGCUGGAGCAGUUUAUGAAGAACUGCAGCCCAUGGGAAGGACUUGCGUUGGAGAAGUUUGUGGAGAACUGUCUGUCUCCCAUGGGAGGGACCCCAUGCUGGAGCAGGGGAAGAGUGUGAGGAGUCCUCCCCCUGAGGAGGAACGAGCAGCAGAGACAAUGUGUGACAAACUGACUGCAAUCCCCUUUCCCCAUCCCCCUGUGCUGCUCAGGGGGAGAAGGUAGAGAAAAUCAGGAGUAAAGUUGAGCCCGGGAAGAAG